UGAAGGUCUGUGGUAGACUACCACGUCGAUAGGCUGGAAGUGUAAGUGUAGUGAUGCAUUGAGCUUACCAGUACUAAUAGACCGUGCGACUUGACCCC
RNAcentral lists this ribosomal RNA (98 nucleotides) under Nitrospirota bacterium. RNAcentral's name for it is "partial 23S ribosomal RNA". It matches the Rfam family "Bacterial large subunit ribosomal RNA", at positions 2828 to 2925 of the family's 2925-position model. Lineage: Bacteria; Pseudomonadati; Nitrospirota. The record is from RNAcentral.